GCUUGUCUCAAAGAUUAAGCCAUGCAUGUCUAAGUAUAAACAACUUUAUACUGUGAAACUGCGUACAGCUCAUUAUAUCAGUUAUAAUUUAUUUGAUGGUGAUUUACUACAUGGAUAACCGUGGUAAUUCUAGAGCUAAUACAUGCGUAAGAUCCUGACCUUUAUGGAAGGGAUGCAGUUAUUAGAUACAAAACCAACCCGGGCAACCGGUCCUUUGGUGAUUCAUGAUAACUUUGCGAAUCGCAUAGCUUUAAUGCUGGCGAUGGGUCAUUCAAAUUUCUGCCCUAUCAACUUUCGACGGUAGGAUAGAGGCCUACUGUGGUGAUAACGGGUAACGAAGAAUAAGGGUUCGAUUUCGGAGAGGGAGCCUGAGAAACGGCUACCACAUCCAAGGAAGGCAGCAGG
Molecule: ribosomal RNA, 405 nt
Filed under: uncultured Blastocladiomycota
Lineage: Eukaryota; Fungi; Blastocladiomycota
Description: partial small subunit ribosomal RNA
Rfam family: Eukaryotic small subunit ribosomal RNA
Source: RNAcentral